ACUCCUGCGGGAGGCAGCAGUGGGGAAUAUUGGACAAUGGGCGCAAGCCUGAUCCAGCCAUGCCGCGUGAGUGAUGAAGGCCCUAGGGUUGUAAAGCUCUUUCACCGGAGAAGAUAAUGACGGUAUCCGGAGAAGAAGCCCCGGCUAACUUCGUGCCAGCAGCCGCGGUAAUACGAAGGGGGCUAGCGUUGUUCGGAAUUACUGGGCGUAAAGCGCACGUAGGCGGAUCGAUCAGUCAGGGGUGAAAUCCCAGGGCUCAACCCUGGAACUGCCUUUGAUACUGUCGAUCUGGAGUAUGGAAGAGGUGAGUGGAAUUCCGAGUGUAGAGGUGAAAUUCGUAGAUAUUCGGAGGAACACCAGUGGCGAAGGCGGCUCACUGGUCCAUUACUGACGCUGAGGUGCGAAAGCGUGGGGAGCAAACAGGAUUAGAAACCCCGGUAGUCCCAU
Molecule: ribosomal RNA, 447 nt
Filed under: uncultured organism
Description: partial 16S ribosomal RNA
Rfam family: Bacterial small subunit ribosomal RNA
Source: RNAcentral